This 465-nucleotide ribosomal RNA is filed under the name uncultured Klebsiella sp. RNAcentral describes it as "bacterial SSU rRNA". It matches the Rfam family "Bacterial small subunit ribosomal RNA", at positions 338 to 795 of the family's 1533-position model. Lineage: Bacteria; Pseudomonadati; Pseudomonadota; Gammaproteobacteria; Enterobacterales; Enterobacteriaceae. The record is from RNAcentral.
CCUACGGGGGGCAGCAGUGGGGAAUAUUGCACAAUGGGCGCGAGCCUGAUGCAGCCAUGCCGCGUGUGUGAAGAAGGCCUUCGGGUUGUAAAGCACUUUCAGCGGGGAGGAAGGCGUUAAGGUUAAUAACCUUGGCGAUUGACGUUACCCGCAGAAGAAGCACCGGCUAACUCCGUGCCAGCAGCCGCGGUAAUACGGAGGGUGCAAGCGUUAAUCGGAAUUACUGGGCGUAAAGCGCACGCAGGCGGUCUGUCAAGUCGGAUGUGAAAUCCCCGGGCUCAACCUGGGAACUGCAUUCGAAACUGGCAGGCUAGAGUCUUGUAGAGGGGGGUAGAAUUCCAGGUGUAGCGGUGAAAUGCGUAGAGAUCUGGAGGAAUACCGGUGGCGAAGGCGGCCCCCUGGACAAAGACUGACGCUCAGGUGCGAAAGCGUGGGGAGCAAACAGGAUUAGAUACCCGUGUAGUC